UUGAUUAGAAUCUACGCAGCAUCAUACCUGCCCUCCUGCGGUUCGCAGCUCUCUCUCUCUCUCUCCGCCUUUGGCUCUUGCUCGCGUGUCACUUGUUCAUCAAUACCCCCAACUAAACCCUUAACCGUUCAAGAUGAUGCGCCGUGCCAUUGCUCAGCCCGUCGCCCGUCGCGCGGCGGCCGCCUCCAGUGCGCUCGUGGUUGCCCCUCGCCAGGCCUCCACUGUCGCCCUCUCCGUCCAGGGCCUGCACUACGUCGGCACCGGUCUCGCCGCCAUCGCCCUCGGUGGUGUUGGCUUGGGUAUCGGUGCCAUCUUUGGCUGCCUGCUGAUAGGCUGCGCUCGCCAGCCCAACCUGACCAAGAUGCUCUUCAACUACGCCAUUCUCGGCUUCGCCCUGACGGAGGCCAUUGGCCUGUUCGCGCUGAUGCUCGCCUUCCUCAUGCUCUUCUCGUAGGGUACUUGACGUCUGCGGUUGCCUCUGUGUCUGCCUUGAUCUCUCGAUGACGGUUGUGAUUGCUUGGCAGUGCUGAGCUGCGGCCGUAGUGAAGUCAAGAGGGAGGUGGAAGAGGAGGGCGUGUGGCAUCUUCCCGAGUGUGAGUGUAAAUAUAUAUAUAUAUUCAUUUAUUUAUGCGUAUGUGUGGCGAGCAGGGCUGAAGAAAGGUAGAGGGGGAGGUGGCCGCCCGCCUCUCCAUUACACAUCGCUACUCCCUAUCGCACCCACCCACCAACCCCUCCGCCUACGUAAUCAUGCAUCCGUCCUCCCAUCCUUGACCAUGAACGGCACCACGUCUGUUUAGCCCAUGGCACACAUGCACGUACGCAUGUGCAGCUCCAUCAUUUCCUGCCUGCUGCACCUACCUGUGUAUUGUGUGUGUGUGUGUGUGUGUGUGUGUGUGUAUCGGUGUGUCUUUCAGGCAUCUGGGACUGUAGCGAUGUUUCUCCAGUCGCCGCCAGCCCCGCCACUACCACUACAUACACACACACACGCACACCUCCCCUUUUUCAUGUUGCGUCGAGUGUACGGUUUUGGUAUCUCUUCGACUGUCAGCAUCGCCCUCUUCCUCUCCUCGCCCUUUCUGUGAGCAUCGCGGCACUGCAGGAGAGGUGUGCGCGCGUGUGCUUACAGAGUUGGAAAAUAAUGUAACAUAUAUAAGCAAGGGAACAGCAAAGGCGAAAACUAAGAUGACAGCGCAGGUGCAAGAUCGCAGCUGAAAGCGCGCUCGCACCGAAUAGGGCGUAAAGGCGAAACGUUGAACGUUGGGGGAGAGGGCGCUCCCCUUCCACUCCUCCUCAUCUCCGCCUCAUGGGGCGCUGGGCCAGACAAUGCCCUCACAGGAU
RNAcentral lists this unclassified non-coding RNA (1338 nucleotides) under Leishmania donovani. Its description in RNAcentral is "gene:LdHU3.24.0760(CDS-product:ATPase_subunit_9_p utative)". Lineage: Eukaryota; Euglenozoa; Kinetoplastea; Trypanosomatida; Trypanosomatidae. The record is from RNAcentral.